AGUGGGGAAUCUUGGACAAUGGGCGCAAGCCUGAUCCAGCCAUGCCGCGUGAGUGAUGAAGGCCCUAGGGUCGUAAAGCUCUUUCGCCUGUGAUGAUAAUGACAGUAGCAGGUAAAGAAACCCCGGCUAACUCCGUGCCAGCAGCCGCGGUAAUACGGAGGGGGUUAGCGUUGUUCGGAAUUACUGGGCGUAAAGCGCGCGUAGGCGGGUUGUUAAGUUAGAGGUGAAAUCCCGGGGCUCAACCCCGGAACUGCCUUUAAUACUGGCAACCUAGAGUUCGAGAGAGGUGAGUGGAAUUCCGAGUGUAGAGGUGAAAUUCGUAGAUAUUCGGAGGAACACCAGUGGCGAAGGCGGCUCACUGGCUCGAUACUGACGCUGAGGUGCGAAAGUGUGGGGAGCAAA
RNAcentral lists this ribosomal RNA (402 nucleotides) under uncultured Shimia sp. Its description in RNAcentral is "bacterial SSU rRNA". It matches the Rfam family "Bacterial small subunit ribosomal RNA", at positions 353 to 772 of the family's 1533-position model. The record is from RNAcentral. Lineage: Bacteria; Pseudomonadati; Pseudomonadota; Alphaproteobacteria; Rhodobacterales; Roseobacteraceae.